RNAcentral lists this ribosomal RNA (481 nucleotides) under uncultured bacterium. RNAcentral describes it as "SSU rRNA". It matches the Rfam family "Bacterial small subunit ribosomal RNA", at positions 26 to 521 of the family's 1533-position model. The record is from RNAcentral.
AGGACGAACGCUGGCGGCGUGCUUAACACAUGCAAGUCGAACGGAAAGGCCCUUUCGGGGGUGCUCGAGUGGCGAACGGGUGAGUAACACGUGGGUGAUCUGCCCUGCACUUUGGGAUAAGCCUGGGAAACUGGGUCUAAUACCGAAUACACCUUGCUGGCUGCAUGGCUGGUGGGGGAAAGCUUUUGCGGUGUGGGAUGGGCCCGCGGCCUAUCAGCUUGUUGGUGGGGUGAUGGCCUACCAAGGCGACGACGGGUAGCCGGCCUGAGAGGGUGUCCGGCCACACUGGGACUGAGAUACGGCCCAGACUCCUACGGGAGGCAGCAGUGGGGAAUAUUGCACAAUGGGCGCAAGCCUGAUGCAGCGACGCCGCGUGAGGGAUGACGGCCUUCGGGUUGUAAACCUCUUUCAGUAUCGACGAAGCGCAAGUGACGGUAGGUACAGAAGAAGCACCGGCCAACUACGCGCCAGCAGCCGCGGU